UGAAUCUUUGCUAAUGACUGGUGGUGUCUGAGUCAAGGAUGGUGAAUAAUACUUGUUUGGAUAUCUGAGGUCCAC
Molecule: small nucleolar RNA, 75 nt
Organism: Cervus hanglu yarkandensis (Yarkand deer)
Lineage: Eukaryota; Metazoa; Chordata; Mammalia; Artiodactyla; Cervidae
Source: Ensembl